GGUCCUAUGGUGCAGUGGUUAGCAUGGUGCUCUUGUAAUGCACAGGUCGUGGGUUCGAACCCCUCUAGGACCA
Molecule: transfer RNA, 73 nt
Filed under: Ophiostoma novo-ulmi subsp. novo-ulmi H327
Lineage: Eukaryota; Fungi; Ascomycota; Sordariomycetes; Ophiostomatales; Ophiostomataceae
Description: tRNA-Thr (TGT) (tRNA-Thr-TGT-2-1)
Rfam family: tRNA
About the family: Transfer RNA (tRNA) molecules are approximately 80 nucleotides in length. Their secondary structure includes four short double-helical elements and three loops (D, anti-codon, and T loops).
Source: RNAcentral